UUGGGACUGAGACACGGCCCAAACUCCUACGGGAGGCAGCAGUGGGGAAUAUUGGACAAUGGGGGAAACCCUGAUCCAGCGACGCCGCGUGAGUGAUGAAGUAUCUCGGUAUGUAAAGCUCUAUCAGCAGGGAAGAUAAUGACGGUACCUGACUAAGAAGCACCGGCUAAAUACGUGCCAGCAGCCGCGGUAAUACGUAUGGUGCAAGCGUUAUCCGGAUUUACUGGGUGUAAAGGGUGCGUAGGUGGUAUGGCAAGUCAGAUGUGAAAACUAUGGGCUCAACCCAUAGAUUGCAUUUGAAACUGUCAAACUGGAGUGCAGGAGAGGAAAGUGGAAUUCCUAGUGUAGCGGUGAAAUGCGUAGAUAUUAGGAGGAACACCAGUGGCGAAGGCGGCUUUCUGGACUGUUACUGACACUGAGGCACGAAAGCGUGGGGAGCAAACAGGAUUAGAUACCCCUGGUAGUCCAACGCCGUAAACGAUGAAUACUAGGUGUUGGGGAGUUUAAAUCCCCGGUGCCGUCGCUAACGCAUUAAGUAUUCCACCUGGGGAGUACGUUCGCAAGAAUAAAACUCAAAGGAAUUGACGGGGACCCGCACAAGCGGUGGAGCAUGUGGUUUAAUUCGAAGCAACGCGAAGAACCUUACCAGGUCUUGACAUAGGAGUGACGAGCUUUUUAACAGAAGUCUUCCUUCGGGACAUCUCCAUACAGGUGGUGCAUGGUUGUCGUCAGCUCGUGUCGUGAGAUGUUGGGUUAAGUCCUGCAACGAGCGCAACCCCUGUUUUCAGUAGCCAGCUCAUAAUGGUGGGCACUCUGGAGAGACUGCCCGGGACAACCGGGAGGAAGGCGGGGAUGACGUCAAAUCAUCAUGCCCCUUACGAUCUGGGCUACACACGUGCUACAAUGGCGGAUACAAAGAGAAGCGAAAUCGUGAGAUCAAGCAAACCUCAAAAACUCCGUCUCAGUUCGGAUUGUAGUCUGCAACUCGACCACAUGAAGCUGGAAUCGCUAGUAAUCGCGAAUCAGAACGUCGCGGUGAAUACGUUCCCGGGUCUUGUACACACCGCCCGUCAAACCAUGGGAGUCGGAAAUACCCGAAGCCUGUGACCUAACCGCAAGGAUAGGAGCAGUCGAAGUAGUCUAUACU
This 1147-nucleotide ribosomal RNA is filed under the name uncultured bacterium. RNAcentral describes it as "bacterial SSU rRNA". It matches the Rfam family "Bacterial small subunit ribosomal RNA", at positions 313 to 1473 of the family's 1533-position model. The record is from RNAcentral.